AGAGUUUGAUCCUGGCUCAGAACGAACGCUGGCGGCGUGUCUAAUACAUGCAAGUCGAGCGAGAAAGCCAAUUUUAGCUUCGGCUAUUUGAGGCGAUUAAAGUGGCGAACGGGUGAGUAACACGUGGGUAAUCUACCUUCGAGUUUGGGAUAAGCCUGGGAAACUGGGUCUAAUACCGGAUAAUACCUCCGGGCGACAUCGCCUGGAGACCAAAGACGGGGCAACCUGUCGCUUGAAGAUGAGCCCGCGGUCCAUUAGCUUGAUGGUGGGGUAAUGGCCUACCAUGGCGACGAUGGAUAGCCGGCCUGAGAGGGUGGACGGCCACACUGGGACUGAGAUACGGCCCAGACUCCUACGGGAGGCAGCAGUAGGGAAUAUUGCGCAAUGGACGAAAGUCUGACGCAGCGACGCCGCGUGGGUGAUGAAGCUUCUUGGAGUGUAAAACCCUGUCAGUGGGGAAGAACCGUAAGUGGAGUAACUGCCACUUGCCUGACGGUACCCGCAGUGAAGCUCCGGCUAACUCCGUGCCAGCAGCCGCGGUAAUACGGGGGGAGCAAGCGUUGUUCGGAUUUACUGGGCGUAAAGGGCGUGUAGGCGGAUCGACAAGUCAUAUGUGAAAUCCAACGGCUUAACCGUUGGCUUGCAUUUGAAACUGUAGAUCUUGAGUACGGGAGAGGAAAGUGGAAUUCCUGGUGUAGCGGUGAAAUGCGUAGAUAUCAGGAGGAACACCGGUGGCGAAGGCGGCUUUCUGGUCCGAUACUGACGCUGAGGCGCGAAGGCCGGGGGAGCAAACAGGAUUAGAUACCCUGGUAGUCCCGGCGGUAAACGAUGGGCACUAGGUGUUGGAGGUAUCGACCCCUUCAGUGCCGCAGCUAACGCAUUAAGUGCCCCGCCUGGGGAAUACGACCGCAAGGUUGAAACUCAAAGGAAUUGACGGGGCCCCGCACAAGCGGUGGAGUAUGUGGUUCAAUUCGAAGCAACGCGAAGAACCUUACCUGGGCUUGACAUGCAUUGGACAAAGGCUGAAAGGUCUCUUCCCCUUCGGGGGCCGAUGUACAGGUGCUGCAUGGCUGUCGUCAGCUCGUGCCGUGAGGUGUUGGGUUAAGUCCCGCAACGAGCGCAACCCCUGUCCUUAGUUGCCAUCAGGUUAUGCUGGGAACUCUAAGGAGACUGCCGGUGAUAAGCUGGAGGAAGGUGGGGAUGACGUCAAGUCCUCAUGGCCCUUACGUCCAGGGCUACACACGUACUACAAUGGUCGGUACAGAGGGCUGCAAUAUCGCGAGAUGGAGCUAAUCCCUAAAGCCGGCCUCAGUUCAGAUUGGAGUCUGCAACUCGACUCCAUGAAGGCGGAAUCGCUAGUAAUCGCGAAUCAGCAGGUCGCGGUGAAUACGUUCCCGGGGCUUGUACACACCGCCCGUCAAGCCACGGAAGUUGGGGGUACCCGAAGUCGUUUGCCUAACCGCAAGGAGGGCGGCGCCGAAGGUAAAACCAAUGACUGGGGCUAAGUCGUAACAAGGUA
Molecule: ribosomal RNA, 1519 nt
Filed under: metagenome
Description: bacterial SSU rRNA
Rfam family: Bacterial small subunit ribosomal RNA
Source: RNAcentral